UACGAAGGGGGCUAGCGUUGUUCGGAAUUACUGGGCGUAAAGCGCACGUAGGCGGAUAUUUAAGUCAGGGGUGAAAUCCCAGAGCUCAACUCUGGAACUGCCUUUGAUACUGGGUAUCUUGAGUAUGGAAGAGGUGAGUGGAAUUCCGAGUGAAGAGGUGAAAUUCGUAGAUAUUCGGAGGAACACCAGUGGCGAAGGCGGCUCACUGGUCCAUUACUGACGCUGAGGUGCGAAAGCGUGGGGAGCAAACAGG
This 253-nucleotide ribosomal RNA is filed under the name uncultured bacterium. Its description in RNAcentral is "partial 16S ribosomal RNA". It matches the Rfam family "Bacterial small subunit ribosomal RNA", at positions 524 to 776 of the family's 1533-position model. The record is from RNAcentral.